GAUGAACGCUGGCGGCGUGCCUGAUACAUGCAAGUAGAACGCUGAAGGAGGAGCUUGCUCUUCUGGAUGAGUUGCGAACGGGUGAGUAACGCGUAGGUAACCUGCCUGGUAGCGGGGGAUAACUAUUGGAAACGAUAGCUAAUACCGCAUGACAACAGUUAUUGCAUGAUAACUGUUUAAAAGGGGCAACUGCUCCACUACCAGAUGGACCUGCGUUGUAUUAGCUAGUUGGUGAGGUAACGGCUCACCAAGGCGACGAUACAUAGCCGACCUGAGAGGGUGAUCGGCCACACUGGGACUGAGACACGGCCCAGACUCCUACGGGAGGCAGCAGUAGGGAAUCUUCGGCAAUGGACGGAAGUCUGACCGAGCAACGCCGCGUGAGUGAAGAAGGUUUUCGGAUCGUAAAGCUCUGUUGUAAGAGAAGAACGAGUGUGAGAGUGGAAAGUUCACACUGUGACGGUAUCUUACCAGAAAGGGACGGCUAACUACGUG
This 495-nucleotide ribosomal RNA is filed under the name uncultured bacterium. Its description in RNAcentral is "partial 16S ribosomal RNA". It matches the Rfam family "Bacterial small subunit ribosomal RNA", at positions 28 to 507 of the family's 1533-position model. The record is from RNAcentral.